GCGGCAAGUGGAGGUCCCACCGAGAUCUGAGGAAAGGAGGUGCUGAUAAACCUAUCUGGAUUCCUGAAAGAUAUUGUCAAACGAUCAACCCCCUGGAAGACCAUGGAACAUCUCAACAAAAUAACAAAGGUGAAGAUCCUCAUCCUUCUGACACAGACAUGGAGCAUACAGGGUAAUGUAACUGUUUGAAGUCUAGUAAAAAAUCCUCCCAUAUUAAUGGCAGUUGGAUUGCAAAGUUCAUUAUUUCCAUCCCUACAUGUCACUAACUAUACGCUAGGACGGCCCGCUAGCAAUGUCUGAAUUCAACAACAAUCAAUCAAUACUACAUUUUCCCUUGUAGAAACA
Nannospalax galili (Upper Galilee mountains blind mole rat) is the source of this 345-nucleotide long non-coding RNA. RefSeq lists it as uncharacterized. Lineage: Eukaryota; Metazoa; Chordata; Mammalia; Rodentia; Spalacidae. The transcript has 2 exons. The record is from RefSeq and is a predicted model, not a curated record.